RNAcentral lists this ribosomal RNA (466 nucleotides) under uncultured bacterium. RNAcentral describes it as "partial 16S ribosomal RNA". It matches the Rfam family "Bacterial small subunit ribosomal RNA", at positions 28 to 507 of the family's 1533-position model. The record is from RNAcentral.
GAUGAACGCUGGCGGCGUGCUUAAUACAUGCAAGUCGAACGAAGAAGCCCAGCUGUCUGUGGGUAUUAGUUGCGAAGGGGUGAGUAACACGUGAGGAACCGGCUCGUUACUCUGGGAGAAGCCUGGGGAACUGGGUCGAAUACGGUAUAUAAUCGUCCACCGUAUGGAUGGUUGUGGGAAGAUUUAUCGAUUUGGGCUGUAGUCGCGGCCAAUCAGCGUGUUGGUGUGGUAUUGGCACCAGACGGCGAGGAGGGGUAGCCGGCCUGGGAGAGUGACCGGCCCCACUGGGCCUGAGAAACGGCCCAGACUCCUACGGCAGGCAGCAGUGGGAAAUAUUGCGCACUGGGCCGAAGCCUGAUGCAGCGUCGCCGCGUCAGGGAUGACGGCCUUCGGGUUGGAACCCUCUUUCAGUAGGGAAGAAGAGACAGUGACGGUACCUGCCGAAGAAGCGCCGGCUAACUACGUG